Long non-coding RNA from Bos indicus x Bos taurus (hybrid cattle), 1419 nucleotides. The record is from Ensembl. NCBI's taxonomy places the organism in Eukaryota, Metazoa, Chordata, Mammalia, Artiodactyla, Bovidae.
GUGGGGCCCAGCUAUCAUUCUUUGCCCAUGCCCUAGGCCCCGCUCCUCUCUCGCUCCUUUUCAAACUGUGGCGGCCUCACAAGCUCCUACUUUAAAAGGCCUGAGAUGUUUUGCAUGAAGCCCUCACAAUAGGGGUUGAGGGAAUUGACAGUUUCAAAAACAAGGCGUUCAGUCCUUUCCAGCUGCCGGGCCCGCUCUCUCGCACCAACUCCUCGUCCCUCUCUGCUGGUGGCGUCCUCGGGAGCGGGCCGCCUCCCCCACACCGCCAGCCCGCGUUCCGGCCGCCCCACCCCGCCCCCAGGCUGUGUUUGUAAACAGGGGACCUAACAGCAGCACUUAAGAUCACCAGAGUGGGUGCUCACUUUGCCCAGCUGAAUAAAUGUUUCCUGGUCAGGAGCAGCCCUGUCCUAGGCCACUACUUGACUCCCACGACUUCUUCCCGGAGCUGCAGCACAGUGAACGAGCUCUCUAUUCUUCUGCGGCUGCAUCCAAGGCUUCAGGGCAGAUUGGUGCCUAACUGGGGGAAGGGCACUGGUUGUGCCCUUACAGGGGACAGUAAGGCCAGAGGGGUGGAGGAAAAGAGGUUUCAAAAUGGAAUAAGGAGAGCCUGCUGCCUGCAGAUGUGUGUGUGUUUAUCCACAGAGUCUAAAAAAGAAAGAAAGAAAGAAAAACAUCUUUAGGGGAAGCAGGCCAAGUACCUGAGAUGCUCAGGUAUUGCGGAUUCCUUAGCUCCUGCUGCCCGGAUCUUUCCCCAGUUGAGAGGACUGGAGCAAGACAGGAAGAGGUGGAGAGAGAAUCACAGGCAACCUUGAGGCCCUCCAGUAAGAUCCAGUUAUUCAUCUAAUCAGUGCCAUCAAUAUGUUUGUGUUUGACCCUUUUGGAUGGAAGAGGCUUAGCAGUCAAUACACUUAGACCCUAAAAUAUCGCCAGCCUCACAGAGAACAACUGUUCAUGGGUCUGCAAAGCCCUCCCCAACCAGGGUGCUCAGAAGGAUGGGAGGGAAACAGAGAGGAAACCCUCUAAGUGGCUGCCUGCCCUCUUCCCCAAGCCAUCAAAACAAACAAACAAACAAACUCAAUUUUCCUGGAGUCUGGGCUGUUGGACAAGCACAUGUGGGGCAUGGAAGGGUUGGGAUAUAAUGUCCAUUGUGAGUGCUUGCCCUCUUUAAGAUCAGUUUAAGUUACCUUUGGGAACAGCACAAUAAUUGUGAUAAGUGAUGAGCAGUGGCAAGGAAAAACAGUAGGGAAGAGAGACAGCACCAAGCUUAGGAAGAAGCCCCCUCCUUCCAUAGAAGUUAGACAUGAUGCAAAUAUGUAAGAGAUCUUGAAGCUUGUCAGCAGGCAAGGGUUUCAGUCUGAAAUGACUGGAAAGGACCUAAAUUCUUGGAUCUCCCAGGAAUAAAGGCGCAUUUGAGAUUCA